Molecule: ribosomal RNA, 133 nt
Filed under: uncultured bacterium
Lineage: Bacteria
Description: partial 16S ribosomal RNA
Source: RNAcentral
UGGUACCGUCAGUGCAAGAUGGUAUUAGCAUCUAGCAUUUUCUUCCCACUUGACAGAGCUUUACGACCCGAAAGCCUUCAUCACUCACGCGGCGUUGCUGCGUCAGGGUUUCCCCCAUUGCGCAAAAUUCCUC